GACACGACUCUCGGCAAUGGAUAUCUCGGCUCUCGCAUCAAUAAAAAACGCAGCGAAAUGCGAUACGUGGUGCGAAUUGCAGAAUCCCGCGAAC
RNAcentral lists this ribosomal RNA (94 nucleotides) under Stanhopea cirrhata. RNAcentral's name for it is "5.8S ribosomal RNA". It matches the Rfam family "5.8S ribosomal RNA", at positions 1 to 89 of the family's 154-position model. From Rfam's summary of the family: 5.8S ribosomal RNA (5.8S rRNA) is a component of the large subunit of the eukaryotic ribosome. The record is from RNAcentral. Lineage: Eukaryota; Viridiplantae; Streptophyta; Magnoliopsida; Asparagales; Orchidaceae.